GAUACCCUCUGUUGUCGGGCAUUGGAGCAUCCCCAACUCCGGAUACGAAAUCUUGAUCCAGAUACCAAAACUGACAACAAUGUGACGCCCAACAGCCUUGUCCGCCACUACGUCCUCGUUAUCCCGCCUGCCGCCUCCAGUUCAGCUCCAGCUCCUACUCCCGCUCCCGCAUAUUUGUUUGUUUAGUUACUAGUUUAUCGAGCAUGCGAAGCAAACGAAAUAUGAAAACCCAUUCGGAUUAAAGAAUAGCCUUAAGUUGUAAUUUAUAGUAAUGUAUUUUUUAAAUAAACUUAUGUGCAUUUGAUGUACAUGGA
Long non-coding RNA from Drosophila miranda, 314 nucleotides. RefSeq lists it as uncharacterized. The record is from RefSeq and is a predicted model, not a curated record. The transcript has 2 exons. Lineage: Eukaryota; Metazoa; Arthropoda; Insecta; Diptera; Drosophilidae.